CAGCAGCAGCGGCUACAACAGCAGCGGCUACAACAGCAGCAACAGCAACAACAGCUGCGGGUACAACCAUUGGCAACUCGGAGGUCACAACCAAUGCUCCAACAACUACCAUUGUUACCAAGUCUUCAACCCCAAAGAUUCAAAAACCUAAAAAAUCAAAGGAUCCAUGUAAGAAAAGGUUCAGGCGACGUCGAAACUCAAGAC
This is a long non-coding RNA of Physella acuta, 204 nucleotides long. RefSeq lists it as uncharacterized. NCBI's taxonomy places the organism in Eukaryota, Metazoa, Mollusca, Gastropoda, Physidae. The record is from RefSeq and is a predicted model, not a curated record.